UUGGUUACUAUUUUUGUAAGUUAUUUGGGAAUGAUUAUCACAGGUUCAUAUGCAUUUGACAUUUCAAAUAUCUAGUUUUAUUGAGUAUCAAAGAUUGUGAAAGUUUAGUGAGAGGCUAGGGUUUGGGAUUUGGAUCUACUGCACUAGCAAGAUAAAAAAAAGUAUUGCAUUUUUGGUAAUAUGUCAAAGAUGUUUUGACACACGUGACUAGCAUUGGUAUCACAUAUACCUUGUUUGCUUUUAUACAAUAAAUUAUGCUUUCCUAUAUGUAAUUGAGGUUGUUCUCAUUUUCUGCCACUGAUUUAUAGUUCUAUUACACCCUUUUCCUUGUCCUGCUUUCGUAUUUAUCAAUUCUCUCUCGCUUGUCUCGUGUUGUAGCCAUUUCCAGUUCUCCCAGGUCCCCUGCUGCUGUACAUGUACGUGGAAGUGUGUGGGUGAAAAUUUAUUUUGGUGUUUACAACUUCUAUGGGAAUUUUCCUUUGUAUAUGUCUGAUAGGCUACAUUGUGUUGAAUCAAUCAUGGCAAUUAAACAGAAGAUAGGGUAAGAAGACGAAGGAGACAAACAAGAUUUGAAGCUGAAGCUAGAGCCAUUUCAGUUUCUCCCAGAUGCUUAGCUGAUGAACAUGAAUAUGAUACUUCCCAAAUGAGCAGUUUCAGGUCGAACAAGCCAUUUCUUGAUAUCAGAAUUCCAGCCAAAACCUUGUCCUUUCGUGUGGUAAGCUUUUCUUAAUUCCAUAUAUAUAAUGAGAGAAAUUAACGAGUUUGGGCACUAUUACAGGUUUGUUGCUAGGUACACAUUUGUAAUAUUGCAGGAGAUAAUGUACUUAGGCUCUUAUCAUAUAAUGAGUUUGAGGAUUGUUUCGCAUUUUAAUCUAAUAAGUUCUCAUUUGUUUGCUGCUUGUUUUGACACUCUUGUUUAAGUUCAAUACUAUUGAAAAUGCUGGUCAGUAAAUGAAUGGUAUUAGUACCUACCGGUCUUGGUUGCUGCACAAUGGUGUUAAAUACAUGUUAGCUUGAGUAUUCCUUGCUUAAGAUUUUGAUACCAUUUUAUUAACAUGAGCAUGAAGCUGUUUAGGGUCGUCACAUGUGUCAAGUCAUGAUGGCUCUUCUGAAUUGUAGUAAGUGGCUACAUAUUUCUUGUUUUGUAGUGUUUCGUUAAAAUCUAAAAGUCUAGAUUGCCAUAUACAAUACCAUUUUUGUUUUGGGAAUUAGAUAUUGGUUAUGUAAUUGAAAGCUUAAAGUAAGUGUCUUCCUUACUCUUUACUUCAUCUUAU
This 1274-nucleotide long non-coding RNA is filed under the name Fragaria vesca (wild strawberry). RNAcentral's name for it is "long non-coding RNA (FVES_LNC004916)". Lineage: Eukaryota; Viridiplantae; Streptophyta; Magnoliopsida; Rosales; Rosaceae. The record is from RNAcentral.